Molecule: unclassified non-coding RNA, 797 nt
Filed under: Hevea brasiliensis (rubber tree)
Lineage: Eukaryota; Viridiplantae; Streptophyta; Magnoliopsida; Malpighiales; Euphorbiaceae
Source: RNAcentral
AUCGUGUCUGCUGUUGUGUAGGCUAAACCAAAACAUGCGAAAAAGAGAAAAAAAACAAAAAAGAAAGGAAAAUAAGCACACAGAAAAAAAGUAGAAUAUAAGACACAGAUAUAUAAGAGAUUCAGCAAUGCACUGUAGCAACAAAAUAUGAUUGCAUCAAUAACACUACAUGGCAAGGAUGGAGAGGGAAUGAUUGAUCAGGUUGCCUCCCAAUCAAGUCUUCUUUUGAGGCCAGCAAGAGAAUUAGUAUUUAGGACUAAAGACCUCAAGAUAGAAGACUAAAUGGUCAUUGUAAUCCAUUGCCAGUACCAAAAAACUCAAAGCCUAGAAAGAACCUCUCUCAUCCAAACGUGAGAUGAAUUCAAUGCCUUCAAGAAUGAGUAUAAAAUAAUAACUAGAAAAGAUUCAAGACCCAGUAGACACAUGUUGAGUUUCAACUGCACAUCUUUCAGGUUCAUCCUGCUGCUUUCCCAAUCAAAACAGGAGUAGUGGGACAUAAGCAUCCAACAUUAGACAAGAACUUUCUUCCGGGUCCAACCAGGAAUUAAGCAAAAAAGUGAAUGGAUAAAUGGCAAGCUUAGCUGAAAUUAUCAACUCAGGUUCAAAUUCAACAGAACUACAUCUAAACCAAGUAUUAAAGUAAAUCCCUCUAUUCAUCUAUCACAUUCUAAAUCAUUCAAUAAAAACAAUGCUACUAAAACAAUAAGAUGAUUUUUUCCAACAUCCUCUUCCAGUCUUGAAUCACAGUAGAAGACAACCUUGUAUAGACCAAUAUUUGCUUCUUCUUCUUCUUCUUC